GAAAAAGUCCAGUGCUAUACCGAAGAUGUGCAAAAGAUUUUGUAGAUGUUUCACCUUGGCUUUUGGUUCCUACAUUGUAGGCUGCGUUACUGUGGGAAGUAGUGUCGUCGGAGCUGUUCAUAUGUUUGAAGAGUUGACUACGAUUACUGAUACUUGGAUGGAAUCUACAAGCGAAGGGGUUUUUGAUUUCAUGACUCUUGUAGCAUUGUGUUUACAUACAGUACUGUGUGUUAUUGGGAUUGUCAUUUUAUACGGUUUGAUUAAC
Macrosteles quadrilineatus (aster leafhopper) is the source of this 265-nucleotide long non-coding RNA. RefSeq lists it as uncharacterized. The transcript has 3 exons. Lineage: Eukaryota; Metazoa; Arthropoda; Insecta; Hemiptera; Cicadellidae. The record is from RefSeq and is a predicted model, not a curated record.